CUGAGGUUAAGAGAGACAUCCAUGGAAAAACAGUAGAGGAAAUAUUUGUCCCUUUGAUUUUAUUUGCCUCUUAGAUGGCUUGCUGGUUCCUUGGCUACUGUUGGGAGCUCCAUAGUAGCCAGGAUUCAAGAGUGAUUCAGCUCUUCAGGCUAUAUCAAAGAGCAUUUUCUUACUUAGUUGCUUUCCCCUCUUUGCAUACAUACCCAAUUGCAUUACUUUCUUUCUAAGAAAUAAAAAAAAGCCUGCUGCUUUCUAUUACUUGGUUAACUUUGCAGAGUCAAGCUUACCUGGACAGGCUCUGUUCCUCCUGUCUACCUACAGUGUGGCCUGUAAAUCCCACUUGGCUGCUCCUGUGCCAGCUCGGUAACAGUGAUGGGGAUGCACAGGUGUCACGGCACAGCGGUGUGGUCCCCAGGCUGUCCUGGAACAUCCCUGGGCCUCCAGUCCCUUGAUUGCUCCUGAUUUAUGCACCACAGAGAGGAACGUGGUUUGGCUCAGAGGGAGCAGGAAUGGCGACUGAAGGAAAAAGGGACACAAGUCAUGCCUGCCUUCCAAGUGCACUGAUGGUUUGGCAGAGUGGAAGGAUGAAUAGAAAUUGCCUUCCAAGUGCAUAUGAGCUGACAACCCAAAAGGACUUCUCACUAAUGGCCAAUCUAAAGGAUUAG
This 665-nucleotide long non-coding RNA is filed under the name Apteryx rowi (Okarito brown kiwi). Its description in RNAcentral is "lncRNA (ENSARWG00000009856.1)". Lineage: Eukaryota; Metazoa; Chordata; Aves; Apterygiformes; Apterygidae. The record is from RNAcentral.